This 773-nucleotide ribosomal RNA is filed under the name uncultured Neocallimastigales. RNAcentral's name for it is "partial large subunit ribosomal RNA". It matches the Rfam family "Eukaryotic large subunit ribosomal RNA", at positions 23 to 645 of the family's 3401-position model. Lineage: Eukaryota; Fungi; Neocallimastigomycota; Neocallimastigomycetes; Neocallimastigales. The record is from RNAcentral.
GAGAGAGACAUGCGCGCAUAUCAAUAAGCGGAGGAAAAGAAACUAACAAGGAUUCCCUUAGUAACGGCGAGUGAAGCGGGAAGAGCUCAAAUUUGAAAUCUUCAAGGUUUUACCUUGACGAAUUGUAGUUUAAAGAAGUGUUUUCUGCUGAAGUUUUGGUAAAAGUUCUUUGGAAUAGGACAGUCAUAGAGGGUGAGAAUCCCGUAUUUGACCAUUAUUUUCAGCUUUGUGAUACACUUUCAAAGAGUCGGAUUGUUUGGGAAUGCAGUCCAAAAUGGGUGGUAAAUUUCAUCUAAAGCUAAAUAUUGGCGAGAGACCGAUAGCGAACAAGUACCGUGAGGGAAAGAUGAAAAGAACUUUGAAAAGAGAGUUAAACAGUACGUGAAAUUGUCAAAAGGGAAGCGUUUGACACCAGUGUUGUUUUCUCGAAAAUCAAUUAAAAAUGGCUCGAUUUUGUAUUGUUGAGACCUUAAAAGCUCACUGUACAUUUUUCGUGUCUUUUUUAAUGCACUUUUCGUUUAACAAGUCAACAUCAGUUUCUUUUGUUGUAAAAGGGUCAUUGGAAGGUGGCUUUCCUUUCGGAGAAAGUGUUUAUAGCCCUUGGCCUCUGCAAUCGAAGAGACUGAGGUCUGCAGCGUAGACUCUUCGGGGUUAGAUACAUUUGUGCUAAGUAUAGCUUUUUAUAGACAACUUGUUGACUAUAAUUAGUCUUGUAGCUUACUCGCUUAUGCUAUUUUACCUACGCUUAGGAUGUUGAAGUCAUCGUAUCGCGC